UGCCAGCCGCCGCGGUAACACGGGGGGCGCAGGCGUUAUUCGGAAUUAUUGGGCGUAAAGGGCGCGCGGGCGGUCUUGUCCGUCAGGUGUGAAAGCCCGGGGCUCAACCCCGGAACUGCACUCAAAACUGUGUUGCUAGAGAUCGGAAGAGGUAAGUGGAAUUCCCAGUGUAGAGGUGAAAUUCGUAGAUAUUAGGAAGAACACCAGUGGCGAAGGCGGCUCACUGGCCCGUUACUGACGCUGAGGUGCGAAAGCGUGGGGAGCAAACAGGAUUAGAUA
Molecule: ribosomal RNA, 279 nt
Filed under: uncultured bacterium
Lineage: Bacteria
Description: partial 16S ribosomal RNA
Rfam family: Bacterial small subunit ribosomal RNA
Source: RNAcentral